GCGGGGAUGCCGGAGCGGUCAAACGGGAUGGGCUAAGGACCCAUUGGCUUAGUGCCUACGCAGGNNUACGCAGGUUCGAAUCCUGUUCCCCGCA
RNAcentral lists this transfer RNA (94 nucleotides) under Nanobdellota archaeon. Its description in RNAcentral is "tRNA-Leu". It matches the Rfam family "tRNA". Rfam says of the family: Transfer RNA (tRNA) molecules are approximately 80 nucleotides in length. Their secondary structure includes four short double-helical elements and three loops (D, anti-codon, and T loops). Further hydrogen bonds mediate the characteristic L-shaped molecular structure. tRNAs have two regions of fundamental functional importance: the anti-codon, which is responsible for specific mRNA codon recognition, and the 3' end, to which the tRNAs corresponding amino acid is attached (by aminoacyl-tRNA synthetases). tRNAs cope with the degeneracy of the genetic code in two manners: having more than one tRNA (with a specific anti-codon) for a particular amino acid; and 'wobble' base-pairing, i.e. permitting non-standard base-pairing at the 3rd anti-codon position. Lineage: Archaea; Nanobdellati; Nanobdellota. The record is from RNAcentral.